This 268-nucleotide ribosomal RNA is filed under the name Pseudosperma arenicola. RNAcentral's name for it is "partial large subunit ribosomal RNA". It matches the Rfam family "Eukaryotic large subunit ribosomal RNA", at positions 419 to 675 of the family's 3401-position model. Lineage: Eukaryota; Fungi; Basidiomycota; Agaricomycetes; Agaricales; Inocybaceae. The record is from RNAcentral.
ACGCUUGAAGUCAGUCGCGUUGACUUGGAAUCAACCCUGUUUUUGCUGGGUGUACUUAUCUUGUCAACGGGUCAGCAUCAAUUUUGACCGUUGGAUAAAGUUGUUGGGAAUGUGGCAUCUUUUGGAUGUGUUAUAGCCCAAUGAUGCAUGCAGCGGUUGGGAUUGAGGAACUCAGCACGCCACAAGGCCGGGUUUCGACCACGUCCGUGCUUAGGAUGCUGGCAUAAUGGCUUUAAUCGACCCGUCUUGAAACACGGACCAAGGAGUC